AUAUUGGACAAUGGGGGCAACCCUGAUCCAGCCAUGCCGCGUGUGUGAAGAAGGUCUUNGGAUUGNANAGCACUUUAAGUUGGGANGAAGGGCUUUAGGCUAAUACCCUGAAGUUUUGACGUUACCAACAGAAUAAGCACCGUACAACUCUGUGCCAGCAGGCGGUGUAAUACAGAGGGUGCAAGCGUUAAUCGGAAUUAAUGGGCGUAAAGCGCGCGUAGGUGGUUCAGUAAGAUGGGUGUGAAAACACCGGGGUUAACCUGGGAACUGCUUUCAUAACUGCUGAGCUAGAGUACGGUAGAGGGUAGUGGAAUUUCCUGUGUAGCGGUGAAAUGCGUAGGUAUAGGAAGGAACACCAGUGGCGAAGGCGACUACCUGGACUGAUACUGACAGUGAGGUGCGAAAGCGUGGGGAGCAAACA
RNAcentral lists this ribosomal RNA (421 nucleotides) under uncultured bacterium. RNAcentral's name for it is "partial 16S ribosomal RNA". It matches the Rfam family "Bacterial small subunit ribosomal RNA", at positions 361 to 774 of the family's 1533-position model. The record is from RNAcentral.